UUUACUGUGAGCAGGAGCAGAAAAAUGGGGCAAAGUAGAGUUCAAACCUUUUAUAAGGCGGGAAAUAUUGUUGUAGUUGUCUAUGGUUACCAAUAAGUAUCCCCAAAACUUAGUGCCUUAAAGCAAUGGUUAUUCUAUUCCAUGAUUUUUGAGGGUCAGGAAUGUGUCAUAGAGGGGCUGGAUGAUUCUUUUGUUCCAUAUAGCACUGACUGGUGGUCAGUAUUCACUGGUAGUAUUCAGCUGUUAAAUGGGCUGGUUUUGAGGCUUCAAGGUGGUUUGACUCAUGGGUCUGGCACCUGGGUAAGGCUGACUAGAGGGCUGGGUUCUGCUGAGACCGUCAACUGGAGUGCCUAAUUGUGGCCUCCCUAAUAUGGUGGCCUCGGGGCUCCAAAAGGGAAUAUCCUGUGAACAAAACAGAAGCUACAUGGCCUUUGUGACCUACAGUUAGAAGUCACAUAGCAUUAUUUUGCUGUCCUCUAUUGGUCAAUCCAGCCACAAGCCUACUCAGGUUUAAGGGAUGGGGACAUAAAUCCCAUCUCUUGAUGGUAAGACAUCCAGAGAAUUUGUAGCUAUGUUUAAAAACCCGCAUAGACAGAGAACAUGUUUACAGUCUGGAUAGGAAUGUACCAGGAGAUGGGGAGAGGUGAAUGAUGCCAAAGAGAGGAGAAAAACUUCAGGAAUCAAAUCCUUUGGAGGUCAUGAAGGGACUCAGAAGGCUAGGGAUUGGGCAUUUUUCCACCUAGGGCAGAAGGGAAGAAUGACAUCAUGAGAAGAUGAAGCUCUUCCCAUCUGGUGACAUCACUGUGCUCAGUAACUAACGUACAGGUCAUUAUGCUACAAAUCAUCAGCUCAUGGGGAGCCAAGAGGAGUAGUCCUAGAAGCAGAGGGGAUGCAUUUAAAGAGUGGAAUUCUAAAGAGCAACAGCAGGUCCAUGCUCCGUGGGGAAGAGGAUCUGCAGGCAGGCUGCCAUGUGGAAACCAAUGAAAUUGAGAGGUUCCUCUGGAAGUCUCCGGACACUCUCAGCGUGACAUCUUUCUGCUCCUCCUCAUUUGGAUCGUCAACUCUGACAAUGAGCUCCCAAGAAGCAGAUACAAAGUCGCUGGAUGAGAGCAUCGUGGCAAAGGCGGGUAUCUGCCACACAAAAAAAGCAGACACAGAUUAGAAUGUGAGAAGGAAA
This is a long non-coding RNA of Canis lupus familiaris (dog), 1177 nucleotides long. RefSeq lists it as uncharacterized. The record is from RefSeq and is a predicted model, not a curated record. Lineage: Eukaryota; Metazoa; Chordata; Mammalia; Carnivora; Canidae. The transcript is spliced from 4 exons.